Molecule: ribosomal RNA, 828 nt
Filed under: uncultured organism
Description: bacterial SSU rRNA
Rfam family: Bacterial small subunit ribosomal RNA
Source: RNAcentral
GCGUGCUUACACAUGCAAGUCGAACGAGAAAUUUUAGCUUGCUAGAGAAAGUNAAGUGGCGCACGGGUGAGUAACGCGUGGGUAAUCUGCCUCCGAAUCGGGGGAUACAUUGCGAAAGCGAUGCUAAUACCGGAUAAAAUCUGGUUGGCUUAGGUGAACCGGAUCAAAGGUGGUCUCUUUAUAAAAGCUACCGUUUGGAGAUGAGCUCGCGUACCAUUAGCUAGUUGGUGAGGUAAAGGCUCACCAAGGCGACGAUGGUUAGCUGGUCUGAGAGGAUGAUCAGCCACACCGGAACUGGAACACGGUCCGGACUCCUACGGGAGGCAGCAGUGAGGAAUUUUGCGCAAUGGGGGAAACCCUGACGCAGCAACGCCGCGUGAGUGAUGAAGGCUUUCGGGUCGUAAAGCUCUGUCAGGUGGGAAGAACCCACCAAGUGUUAAGACCACUUGGUGCUGACGGUACCACCGAAGGAAGCACCGGCUAACUCCGUGCCAGCAGCCGCGGUAAUACGGGGGGUGCGAGCGUUAUUCGGAAUCAUUGGGCGUAAAGGGCGCGCAGGCGGUUUUGUAAGUCAGAUGUGAAAUCCCGGGGCUUAACCCCGGAAGUGCAUAUGAAACUAUGAGACUUGAGUAUGGGAGAGGGAAGCGGAAUUCCUGGUGUAGCGGUGAACUGCGUAGAUAUCAGGAGGAACACCGGUGGCGAAGGCGGCUUCCUGGACCAAUACUGACGCUGAGGCGCGAAGGCGUGGGGAGCGAACAGGAUUAGAUACCCUGGUAGUCCACGCAGUAACCGUUGAUCACUAGGUGUAACGGGUAUUGACCCCUGCUG